AUGUUGAGCCGAUUACAACACACAAGUGGGGUGACAUCGCCGUUCUCGUUCGAGAUGUUAAAACAGAUCACUAAUAAUUUUUCGGAGGAGCACAUAAUUGGUCGUGGUGCGUAUGGAGUGGUUUACAAGGGAGUAUUGGACAAUGGGAAAGAGAUUGCUGUGAAGAAGCUUAAAUACAUGCCUCCAGAACAUGACAGCAAUAAACAAUUUGAGAAUGAGUGUACAAACCUUAUGGGGGUCCAACAUCAAAAUAUCGUGCGGUUAGUUGGCUACUGUCAUGAAACACGUCGUGAAUAUGUGGAACACGGUGGAAAAUACGUUUGGGCUGAGGUGGAUGAACGAGUUCUCUGCUUUGAAUACUUGCAGGGUGGAAGCCUUGACAAACAUGUCUCUGACGAACCAUGCAAACUUGAUUGGGACAUGUGCUACAAAAUAAUUAAGGGAGUCUCUGAAGGUUUAAAUCACCUUCAUAAGGACUCCAUUUUCCAUUUUGACUUGAAGCCUGGAAAUAUAUUGCUGGAUAACAACAUGAUGCCGAAAAUUGACGAUUUUGGUUUAUCAAGAUUCUUUCCUUCAGCAGAAACCUGCACCACAGCGACGAAUUUUGGAACAUUGGGGUACAUACCACCAGAACACAUAAUCGGACACCAAAUCUCACCGAAAUAUGAUGUAUUCAGUUUGGGUGUUAUAAUCGUAAUAAUAAUGGCAGGAUUCAGGGGCUACUAUGAAUAUAAAGAUACCGCUUCCUUUGAAUUCAUCAAGCUUGUAUGUGAAAUGUGGCAAAAAAGGGUACAUGCAACGACGUGGUCACACAUAUCACAAGAAGUUAAGACAUGCAUCGAAAUAGCGUUAAGAUGUAUUAAGCAUGAUCGAGAGGAAAGGCCUACUAUAAGCCAAGUUGUUGAUGUACUUAGUAGGAUUGAUGUUGAGAAGUUGUCACUUAAGUGCGAGCUUCGAUGGGAGUUCAUGGUGGUCCCACUACGGUUGAAUUCACACCUGGUGAGGUGGGAGAGGAUGAUAGAUCGAUGCAUGAAAGUGACACGGUUGAGCCCAUGA
This 1056-nucleotide ribosomal RNA is filed under the name Triticum aestivum (bread wheat). RNAcentral's name for it is "partial small subunit ribosomal RNA". The record is from RNAcentral. Lineage: Eukaryota; Viridiplantae; Streptophyta; Magnoliopsida; Poales; Poaceae.